AUUGAACGCUGGCGGCAUGCUUUACACAUGCAAGUCGAACGGUAACAGGCCGCAAGGUGCUGACGAGUGGCGAACGGGUGAGUAAUGCAUCGGAACGUGCCCAGUCGUGGGGGAUAACGCAGCGAAAGCUGUGCUAAUAACGCAUACGAUCUAUGGAUGAAAGCGGGGGAACGCAAUGCCUCGCGCGAUUGGAGCGGCCGAUGUCAGAUCAGGUAGUUGGUGGGGUAAAGGCUCACCAAGCCAACGAUUUGUAGCUGGUCGGAGAUGGACGACCAGCCACACUGGGACUGAGACACGGCCCAGACUCCUACGGGAGGCAGCAGUGGGGAAUUUUGGACAAUGGGCGCAAGCCUGAUCCAGCAAUGCCGCGUGCAGGAAGAAGGCCUUCGGGUUGUAAACUGCUUUUGUACGGAACGAAAAGGUUUGGGUUAAUACCCUGGGCCGAUGACGGUACCGUAAGAAUAAGCACCGGCUAACUACGUGCCAGCCGCCGCCGUAA
This 499-nucleotide ribosomal RNA is filed under the name uncultured bacterium. RNAcentral's name for it is "partial 16S ribosomal RNA". It matches the Rfam family "Bacterial small subunit ribosomal RNA", at positions 30 to 523 of the family's 1533-position model. The record is from RNAcentral.